GUCGAGAAUCUUUCACAAUGGGGGCAACCCUGAUGGAGCGACGCCGCGUGGAGGAUAAGGUCUUCGGAUUGUAAACUCCUGUCAUGCGUGAACAAGGUUGCUUGGUUAAUACCUGGGCAAAUUGAUGGUAACGCAAGAGGAAGAGACGGCUAACUCUGUGCCAGCAGUCGCGGUAAUACAGAGGUCUCAAGCGUUGUUCGGAAUCACUGGGCGUAAAGGGUGCGUAGGUGGCGUGGUAAGUCAGAUGUGAAAGCCCGGGGCUCAACCUCGGAACUGCAUCCGAUACUGCCAUGCUAGAGUACUGGAGAGGUGACUAGAAUUCUCGGUGUAGCAGUGAAAUGCGUAGAUAUCGAGAGGAAUACCAAAGGCGUAGGCAGGUCACUGGACAGUUACUGACACUGAGGCACGAAGGCCAGGGGAGCGAACGGGAUUAGAAACCCUGGUAGUCC
RNAcentral lists this ribosomal RNA (449 nucleotides) under uncultured bacterium. Its description in RNAcentral is "partial 16S ribosomal RNA". It matches the Rfam family "Bacterial small subunit ribosomal RNA", at positions 354 to 796 of the family's 1533-position model. The record is from RNAcentral.